AACGAACGCUGGCGGCAUGCCUAACACAUGCAAGUCGAACGAUACCUUCGGGUCUAGUGGCGCACGGGUGCGUAACGCGUGGGAACCUGCCCUUAGGUUCGGAAUAACUCCCCGAAAGGGGUGCUAAUACCGGAUAAUGUCUUCGGACCAAAGAUUUAUCGCCUUUGGAUGGGCCCGCGUUGGAUUAGCUAGUUGGUAGGGUAAAAGCCUACCAAGGCGACGAUCCAUAGCUGGUCUGAGAGGAUGAUCAGACACACUGGGACUGAGACACGGCCCAGACUCCUACGGGAGGCAGCAGUGGGGAAUAUUGGACAAUGGGCGAAAGCCUGAUCCAGCAAUGCCGCGUGAGGGAUGAAGGCCUUAGGGUUGUAAAGCUCUUUUACCCGGGAUGAUAAUGACAGUACCGGGAGAAUAAGCUCCGGCUAACUCCGUG
RNAcentral lists this ribosomal RNA (433 nucleotides) under uncultured bacterium. RNAcentral describes it as "partial 16S ribosomal RNA". It matches the Rfam family "Bacterial small subunit ribosomal RNA", at positions 29 to 507 of the family's 1533-position model. The record is from RNAcentral.